UUUAUUUGACUUCAUGGACUCAAAUAGCCGGAAGAAUUGACGCUAACGGUAAAAUUCAGCAACGUCAUUUUCUCUGCCAUCUUCGCCAUUGAGAUGUUGCUCAAAGUCAUCGCCGAGGGUCCGCUCAACUACGUCGUCGGCAACGGAUUCAACGUUUUCGAAGGAGUCAUCUUCAUCCUCAGGGUGUUGAUAAUUUUUCUGAAACGGUUUUUGAAUGGCGAGAAAAAUCAAUCACCUAUUGCUUUUCCCAAUAUAUGGCAACCGUUUAAUGACUCGAGAGGCAUCACCCACAACUAUACUCUAUAUGCACACAUUACUCAUUUUGGUAGAUUCGGUAAAAAACGGUCGAUUCUGGUAACGCCGGUUUCAAAAUUUUUAUUCUUAAAUAAAAUGAAUUAGUUUUGAAAAGCUAGAAUUUCCCAAAAAAAUUUUCCCUCAAACGACAACCAGGUCGGUGGUCUCGUUGGCGUAUUCCUCAGUCCAGCUAUUGUUCACUGUUGCACCGUGUUAUUUGAACUCCCGCCAUUAAUUCUCACGUUGGACACUGCAGUUUACACAGACUACAUUUUUUUUCCAAACAUGUCUCAAGAACAUCCCGAGGCCGAGACGGUACUCAACUCAUUCUCUUCGGAUCUAUCGUACUCGUCGUUGCCGUCGUUGAAGAUAGAGACGGAAACGCCAACGGUGACGGAGCGGUCGUUCGGCUUGUUUACCAUCAAUUGUGAGUUGCUUGCUCCACCGGCUUCGAAGACUGUCACCUUUAUUUGUCGUUUUAACGUGCUUUGGGGUCCGUAAACUGGUUUCGACUAACUUGCUGUGCUCCAAUGAACGAUAUAGCUACCACUCCCAAUUGCCUUCCACGUUUCGUGAACUUGGACGACGGUGACGGUAAAAUUUUAGAUGUAUCACCUACGAGCGGUACAUUCACGCAUUGAGGAACAACUUUUAGAGCUGUCAAGAUAAACAAGACAAGAACUUUGCGAUGAUGUGACGUUUAAAUUUCCCUGUGGUAGCUUGUAAAAGGCCCACAAGGUCGUUUUGCGUCUCAAUAUCGAGUACUUCCAAGCUUUGUUUCGCAGCAACUAUAGGGAGUAGUUGACGGGUGAAGUCUCCGUUAUCGACAUCCCUUACCAACUCUUUGUGGACGUGGUUCGUAGUCUGACACGACAUAACUUUUAAUACCCAGAUUUUACUUUUAACGCUAGAAAGCGUGGUAACUUACUUAUCCGUUUCCAUCAUGGCAGGUGAUGCUAAAUCCAAGCAAGGCGGGCCAUCCGGCUCUACUUCAACUGAUGCUUCUUCCCCUCCCAAUGCUGACUCCGUUCACGUGAACAUACCUGAACCCCCACUACGCUACAAUACAGCUUUCUGAGUAUAAUGACAGUAACCGCCUUUGGCGGACUGACUGGGGACUGACUGGUUGAGGGCUGGGCAUCAGCAUCUUUCAUUGCGCUUUCUUGGUGUUCCAGAUGGUGAUAUGUGCCUACAUCACCUUGAUCAACAUGGAUGAAAGAGCCCAUCAACCAAAAUUUCUACCACUGGCUACUAUCCUCAUUCUGUUCACAUCAAUUAAUCUGUUUUUUUUUCUGGUGUGACCGGAACAAUGGUAAGGGAGGGGAUAUUUUUCGCUGCUCGGACUUAAGUUGACCAAUGUUUUGUUCCCCAAAAAUCCAAAAAUUUGGCUUGUCUUUUUUUUCGUCUCUCCUUUUAACUUGUCUCUUUCUCUCUUGUCUCUUUUUUUCUUUUCUUUCAUGUUUCGUACACAUUGUUAUUUUUCCUUGUCUCUUGCAUUAAACAAGCAUUAAAUAUCUAAUAUUAUACUAAUAUCUAAUAUAUAACGAGGUCGUGCCAAGAGUGCAGAGGUACUUAAAACGGAGUUGGCCACACCACCAAGCUCCACAAAGUAAAAUGUUCAAUAAGUUGUUUGGCUUAUAUUUAAAUUGAAUUUUAAAAUGUUUUCCUUCUUUAGGACCUCCACUAGAGAUGUGGCGCAUCAUCUAUCUGUCCCAGAAGGCAUGAUCACGCGUAGUAAGGCUCGGGCUCGUGCUCACAGUGGAAUUUAAAAUCAUUUUUCAUUUCAUUCUUCAUUUUUUCACUCACUUCCCAUUUUCUACAAUAAUAAUAAUUGUUUGUUUUACCAAUUUGGUUUCAUAUCUUUGUUUGAUUUGAUCUAAUAUUCAGCAUUCAAUAAAUCAUUACCAAACG
RNAcentral lists this long non-coding RNA (2205 nucleotides) under Daphnia pulex (common water flea). Its description in RNAcentral is "uncharacterized LOC124202590, transcript variant X1". Lineage: Eukaryota; Metazoa; Arthropoda; Branchiopoda; Diplostraca; Daphniidae. The record is from RNAcentral.